Molecule: transfer RNA, 72 nt
Filed under: Phrynosoma platyrhinos (Desert horned lizard)
Lineage: Eukaryota; Metazoa; Chordata; Lepidosauria; Squamata; Phrynosomatidae
Description: tRNA-OTHER
Source: RNAcentral
GCCAGUGUAAUGUAGUGGUUUGAGCAUUGGACUACAACUCUGGAGACCAGGGUUUGAAUCCCUGCUCAGCCA